Molecule: ribosomal RNA, 303 nt
Filed under: uncultured bacterium
Lineage: Bacteria
Description: partial 16S ribosomal RNA
Rfam family: Bacterial small subunit ribosomal RNA
Source: RNAcentral
AGCAGUCGCCGCGGGAAUACAAAGGGUGCAAGCGUUACUCGGAAUUACUGGGCGUAAAGCGUGCGUAGGUGGUGGUUUAAGUCCGUUGUGAAAGCCCUGGGCUCAACCUGGGAAUUGCAGUGGAUACUGGGUCACUAGAGUGUGGUAGAGGAUAGUGGAAUUUCCGGUGUAGCAGUGAAAUGCGUAGAGAUCGGAAGGAACAUCUGUGGCGAAGGCGACUAUCUGGGCCAACACUGACACUGAGGCACGAAAGCGUGGGGAGCAAACAGGACUAGAUACCCCAGUAGUCCCUGUCUCUUAUAC